AGUGAACGCUGGCGGUAGGCCUAACACAUGCAAGUCGAACGGCAGCACAGUAAGAGCUUGUUCUUACGGGUGGCGAGUGGCGGACGGGUGAGGAAUACAUCGGAAUCUACUUUUUCGUGGGGGAUAACGUAGGGAAACUUACGCUAAUACCGCAUACGACCUACGGGUGAAAGCAGGGGAUCUUCGGACCUUGCGCGAUUGAAUGAGCCGAUGUCGGAUUAGCUAGUUGGCGGGGUAAAGGCCCACCAAGGCGACGAUCCGUAGCUGGUCUGAGAGGAUGAUCAGCCACACUGGAACUGAGACACGGUCCAGACUCCUACGGGAGGCAGCAGUGGGGAAUAUUGGACAAUGAGCGCAAGCCUGAUCCAGCCAUACCGCGUGGGUGAAGAAGGCCUUCGGGUUGUAAAGCCCUUUUGUUGGGAAAGAAAAGCAGCAGGUUAAUACCCCGCUGUUCUGACGGUACCCAAAGAAUAAGCACCGGCUAACUUCGUG
Molecule: ribosomal RNA, 492 nt
Filed under: uncultured bacterium
Lineage: Bacteria
Description: partial 16S ribosomal RNA
Rfam family: Bacterial small subunit ribosomal RNA
Source: RNAcentral